CUGCAUGAAGCUGGAAUCGCUAGUAAUCGCGGAUCAGCAUGCCGCGGUGAAUACGUUCCCGGGCCUUGUACACACCGCCCGUCACACCACGAGAGUUUGUAACACCCGAAGUCGGUGGGGUAACCUUUUGGAGCCAGCCGCCUAAGGUGGGACAGAUGAUUGGGGUGAAGUCGUAACAAGGUAGCCGUAUCGGAAGGUGCGGCUGGAUCACCUCCUUUCUAAGGAA
RNAcentral lists this ribosomal RNA (226 nucleotides) under Bacillus infantis. Its description in RNAcentral is "partial 16S ribosomal RNA". It matches the Rfam family "Bacterial small subunit ribosomal RNA", at positions 1316 to 1533 of the family's 1533-position model. The record is from RNAcentral. Lineage: Bacteria; Bacillati; Bacillota; Bacilli; Caryophanales; Bacillaceae.